This 788-nucleotide ribosomal RNA is filed under the name uncultured archaeon. RNAcentral describes it as "bacterial SSU rRNA". It matches the Rfam family "Archaeal small subunit ribosomal RNA", at positions 82 to 859 of the family's 1478-position model. The record is from RNAcentral.
CAAACUGNUCAGUAACACAUGAUCAACUUACCCUAUAGAGAAAAAUAACNUCGGGAAACUGAGGAUAAUGUUUCAUAGCUGAAUAGGCUUGGAAAAGUUUUUCAAUAAAAGGGAUAAAAAAAAUGGUUUUUAUCUGCUAUAGGAUAGGAUCGUGGACGAUUAUGGUUGUUGGUGAGGUAACGGCUCACCAAGCCGAUAAUCGAUAGGGGCCGUGAGAGCGGGAGCCCCGAGAUGGGUACUGAGACAACGACCCAGGCCUUACGAGGCGCAGCAGGCGCGGAACCUCCGCAAUACACGAAAGUGUGACGGGGUUACCCAAAGUGUUCAAUUCUGAACUGUGGUAGGUGAGUAAUGUCCCCUACUAGAAAGGAGAGGGCAAGGCUGGUGCCAGCCGCCGCGGUAAAACCAGCUCUUCAAGUGGUCGGGAUAAUUAUUGGGCUUAAAGUGUCCGUAGCCGGUUUAGUAAGUUCCUGGUAAAAUCGGGUAGCUUAACUAUCCAUAUGCUAGGAAUACUGCUAUACUAGAGGGCGGGAGAGGUCUGAGGUACUACAGGGGUAGGGGUGAAAUCUUAUAAUCCUUGUAGGACCACCAGUGGCGAAGGCGUCAGACUGGAACGCGCCUGACGGUGAGGGACGAAAGCCAGGGGAGCGAACCGGAUUAGAUACCCGGGUAGUCCUGGCCGUAAACGAUGCAUACUAGGUGAUGGUACGGCCAUGAGCCGUAUCAGUGCCGUAGGGAAACCGUUAAGUGUGCCGCCUGGGAAGUACGGUCGCAAGGCUAAAACUUAA